RNAcentral lists this ribosomal RNA (896 nucleotides) under Akanthomyces muscarius. Its description in RNAcentral is "LSU rRNA". It matches the Rfam family "Eukaryotic large subunit ribosomal RNA", at positions 38 to 964 of the family's 3401-position model. The record is from RNAcentral. Lineage: Eukaryota; Fungi; Ascomycota; Sordariomycetes; Hypocreales; Cordycipitaceae.
GCAUAUCAAUAAGCGGAGGAAAAGAAACCAACAGGGAUUGCCCCCAGUAACGGCGAGUGAAGCGGCAACAGCUCAAAUUUGAAAUCUGGCCCUUGGGUCCGAGUUGUAAUUUGUAGAGGAUGCUUUUGGCGAGGUGCCUUCCGAGUUCCCUGGAACGGGACGCCAUAGAGGGUGAGAGCCCCGUCUGGUCGGACACCGAGCCUCUGUAAAGCUCCUUCGACGAGUCGAGUAGUUUGGGAAUGCUGCUCAAAAUGGGAGGUAUAUGUCUUCUAAAGCUAAAUAUUGGCCAGAGACCGAUAGCGCACAAGUAGAGUGAUCGAAAGAUGAAAAGCACUUUGAAAAGAGGGUUAAAAAGUACGUGAAAUUGUUGAAAGGGAAGCGCCUAUGACCAGACUUGGGCCCGGUGAAUCAUCCAGCGUUCUCGCUGGUGCACUUUGCCGGGCACAGGCCAGCAUCAGUUUGGCGCGGGGGAAAAAGGCUUUGGGAAUGUGGCUCCCUCGGGAGUGUUAUAGCCCAUUGUGUAAUACCCUGCGCCGGACUGAGGUACGCGCAUUGCAAGGAUGCUGGCGUAAUGGUCAUCAGCGACCCGUCUUGAAACACGGACCAAGGAGUCGUCUUCGUAUGCGAGUGUUCGGGUGUCAAACCCCUACGCGUAAUGAAAGUGAACGCAGGUGAGAGCUUCGGCGCAUCAUCGACCGAUCCUGAUGUUCUCGGAUGGAUUUGAGUAAGAGCAUACGGGGCCGGACCCGAAAGAAGGUGAACUAUGCCUGUAUAGGGUGAAGCCAGAGGAAACUCUGGUGGAGGCUCGCAGCGGUUCUGACGUGCGAAUCGAUCGUCAAAUAUGGGCAUGGGGGGCGAAAGACUAAUCGAACCUUCUAGUAGCUGGUUUCCGCCGA